ACACCCAAGAGGGCGACAUAAGACCUGCUAACUCUUUAUUAUGGAAUUUGACCCCAGCCC
This 60-nucleotide transfer RNA is filed under the name Diadophis punctatus (Ringneck snake). Its description in RNAcentral is "tRNA-Ser". Lineage: Eukaryota; Metazoa; Chordata; Lepidosauria; Squamata; Dipsadidae. The record is from RNAcentral.